UUAUGAUGAUACCCAUGAGCUGGCACCAGUCCUAGAAAGAUUUGUACUCUGUUUGCUGCGGAAUGCUUAACCGGGCUAGAAAAAAAAGCCCAUCUGAA
RNAcentral lists this small nucleolar RNA (98 nucleotides) under Trichophyton benhamiae CBS 112371. RNAcentral's name for it is "Arthroderma benhamiae CBS 112371 A. fumigatus snoRNA Afu_190". It matches the Rfam family "A. fumigatus snoRNA Afu_190". The record is from Rfam by way of RNAcentral. Lineage: Eukaryota; Fungi; Ascomycota; Eurotiomycetes; Onygenales; Arthrodermataceae.